CACGUGAAAUUCCGUCGGAAUCUGGGAGGACCAUCUCCUAAGGCUAAAUACUCUCUAGUGACCGAUAGUGAACCAGUACCGUGAGGGAAAGGUGAAAAGUACCCCGGAAGGGGAGUGAAAGAGAACUUGAAACCGUGUGCUUACAAGUAGUCAGAGCCCGUUAAUGGGUGAUGGCGUGCCUUUUGUAGAAUGAACCGGCGAGUUACGAUCUGAUGCAAGGUUAAGCAGAAAAUGUGGAGCCGUAGCGAAAGCGAGUCUGAAUAGGGCGAAUGAGUAUUUGGUCGUAGACCCGAAACCAGGUGAUCUACCCUUGGUCAGGUUGAAGUUCAGGUAACACUGAAUGGAGGACCGAACCGACUUACGUUGAAAAGUGAGCGGAUGAACUGAGGGUAGCGGAGAAAUUCCAAUCGAACUUGGAGAUAGCUGGUUCUCUCCGAAAUAGCUUUAGGGCUAGCCUCAAGUGAUGAUUAUUGGAGGUAGAGCACUGUUUGGACGAGGGGCCCCUCUCGGGUUACCGAAUUCAGACAAACUCCGAAUGCCAAAUAAUUUAACUUGGGAGUCAGAAUGUGGGUGAUAAGGUCCAUAUUCGAAAGGGAAACAGCCCAGACCACCAGCUAAGGUCCCAAAAUAUAUGUUAAGUGGAAAAGGAUGUGGCGUUGCCCAGACAACUAGGAUGUUGGCUUAGAAGCAGCCAUCAUUUAAAGAGUGCGUAAUAGCUCACUAGUCGAGUGACACUGCGCCGAAAAUGUACCGGGGCUAAACAUAUUACCGAAGCUGUGGAUUGUCCUUUGGACAAUGGUAGGAGAGCGUUCUAAGGGCGUUGAAGCAUGAUCGCAAGGACAUGUGGAGCGCUUAGAAGUGAGAAUGCCGGUGUGAGUAGCGAAAGACGGGUGAGAAUCCCGUCCACCGAUUGACUAAGGUUUCCAGAGGAAGGCUCGUCCGCUCUGGGUUAGUCGGGUCCUAAGCUGAGGCCGACAGGCGUAGGCGAUGGAUAACAGGUUGAUAUUCCUGUACCACCAUUAUUCGUUUUAAGCGAUGGGGGGACGCAGUAGGAUAGGCGAAGCGUGCUGUUGGAGUGCACGUCCAAGCAGUGAGAUUGAGUGUUAGGCAAAUCCGGCACUCUUAAGAUUGAGCUGUGAUGGGGAGAGGAACUUGUUCCUCGAGUCGUUGAUUUCACACUGCCGAGAAAAGCCUCUAGCUAGAAUAACGGUGCCCGUACCGCAAACCGACACAGGUAGUCAAGAUGAGAAUUCUAAGGUGAGCGAGCGAACUCUCGUUAAGGAACUCGGCAAAAUGACCCCGUAACUUCGGGAGAAGGGGUGCUCUUUGAGGUUCACGCUUCGAAGAGCCGCAGUGAAUAGGCCCAAGCGACUGUUUAUCAAAAACACAGGUCUCUGCUAAACCGUAAGGUGACGUAUAGGGGCUGACGCCUGCCCGGUGCUGGAA
This 1446-nucleotide ribosomal RNA is filed under the name Staphylococcus pseudintermedius. Its description in RNAcentral is "partial 23S ribosomal RNA". It matches the Rfam family "Bacterial large subunit ribosomal RNA", at positions 423 to 1874 of the family's 2925-position model. Lineage: Bacteria; Bacillati; Bacillota; Bacilli; Caryophanales; Staphylococcaceae. The record is from RNAcentral.